Molecule: unclassified non-coding RNA, 364 nt
Filed under: Hevea brasiliensis (rubber tree)
Lineage: Eukaryota; Viridiplantae; Streptophyta; Magnoliopsida; Malpighiales; Euphorbiaceae
Source: RNAcentral
GAUAAUUAAAAUACUAGAUUUGGCUUAUUUGUUGUUCAAAAUUUAUAACAAAUUCUGCAGUAUCUCCUAUCCUUUUCUUGGUAUUUUAAAAUUUAAAUUAAUUCUAUCUCUAUGAGUCCAUCUUUCAAUAGAAUUCUACUCACUGCAAAUUACACCUUCCCAUAGCAUUAAUGACUCUUGAAGCCAAUUUCAUAUUAUCUUUUCUAUUUUUCCCAGCCAAACUCAAAAAUCAUCAUUCUCAAAUCCAAAUUAUUAUUCCCAUCAAAAUAUCACUAACCCAUCUUAUGUUUCCUUCCUUCCUUUUCCAUUCGGUUGAUUAUCAUUAUGCAAUUCCUUCUAUUUGGCUUUUCUUUCGGAGUGCAAC